UAGAAAUGUAUGUGUUCGAUGG
This 22-nucleotide non-coding RNA is filed under the name Arabidopsis thaliana (thale cress). Lineage: Eukaryota; Viridiplantae; Streptophyta; Magnoliopsida; Brassicales; Brassicaceae. The record is from RNAcentral.